Molecule: ribosomal RNA, 434 nt
Filed under: uncultured bacterium
Lineage: Bacteria
Description: partial 16S ribosomal RNA
Rfam family: Bacterial small subunit ribosomal RNA
Source: RNAcentral
AGCGAACGCUGGCGGCAGGCCUAACACAUGCAAGUCGAACGAACCUUUCGGGGUUAGUGGCGGACGGGUGAGUAACACGUGGGAACGUGCCUUUAGGUUCGGAAUAACUCAGGGAAACUUGUGCUAAUACCGAAUGUGCCCUUCGGGGGAAAGAUUAAUCGCCUUUAGAGCGGCCCGCGUCUGAUUAGCUAGUUGGUUGAGGUAAUGGCUCACCAAGGCGACGAUCAGUAGCUGGUCUGAGAGGAUGAUCAGCCACAUUGGGACUGAGACACGGCCCAAACUCCUACGGGAGGCAGCAGGGGGGAAUCUUGCGCAAUGGGCGAAAGCCUGACGCAGCCAUGCCGCGUGAAUGAUGAAGGUCUUAGGAUUGUAAAAUUCUUUCACCGGGGACGAUAAUGACGGUACCCGGAGAAGAAGCCCCGGCUAACUUCGUG